CACAUCCAAGGAAGGCAGCAGGCACGCAAAUUACCCAAUCCCAGCUCUGGGAGGUAGUGACGAAAAAUAACAAUGCGGGACUCUUCCGAGUCUGCGUAAUUGGAAUGAGCACACUUUAAAUCCUUUAGCAACAACCAAUUGGAGGGCAAGUCUGGUGCCAGCAGCCGCGGUAAUUCCAGCUCCAAUAGCGUAUAUUAAAGUUGUUGCGGUUAAAAAGCUCGUAGUUCGAGUUCAGUUUCGGACUGGGGUGGGAGGUCACCGCCCGGUGCUUGCCCCCUAGGCUCCGAACAGCUUCCUAUAGUGGAAGCCAAGUCGGUUCUGGCGGGGUGCUCUUUACCGAGUGUCCCGUGCGGCCGGCCAGUUCACCUUGAAUAAAUGAGAGUGCUCAAAGCAGGCUACUCUGGAAUACAAUGCCGGAAUUUUGGUUGCAUGGAAUGAUGGAAGAUGAUCUCGGUUCCAUUUUGUUGGUGGUGGGAGCCAGAGGUAAUGAUAAAGAGGGACUGUCGGGGGCAUCCGUACUACGACGCGAGAGGUGAAAUUCAGUGACCGUCGUAGGACGAACAACAGCGAAAGCAUUUGCCAAGAAUGUCUUCGUUGAUCAAGAACGAAAGUUAGAGGAUCGAAGGCGAUCAGAUACCGCCCUAGUUCUAACCCUAAACGAUGCUGACUAGCAAUUCGCCGUCGUUAUUCCCAUGACGUGGCGAGACGCCCCCGGGAAACCUCAAGUUUUUGAGUUCCGGGGGUAGUAUGGUUGCAAAAGUGAAACUUAAAGGAAUUGACGGAAGGGCACCACCAGGAGUGGAGCCUGCGGCUUAAUUUGACUCAACACGGGAAAGCUCACCAGGCCCGGACACCAGAAGGAUUGACAGAUUAAGAGCUCUUUCUCGAUUUGGUGGGUGGUGGUGCAUGGCCGUUCUUAGUUGGUGGAGUGAUUUGUCUGGUUAAUUC
Molecule: ribosomal RNA, 948 nt
Filed under: Macrobrachium sintangense
Lineage: Eukaryota; Metazoa; Arthropoda; Malacostraca; Decapoda; Palaemonidae
Description: SSU rRNA
Rfam family: Eukaryotic small subunit ribosomal RNA
Source: RNAcentral